Molecule: non-coding RNA, 2169 nt
Organism: Heterocephalus glaber (naked mole-rat)
Lineage: Eukaryota; Metazoa; Chordata; Mammalia; Rodentia; Bathyergidae
Source: RefSeq, a predicted model, not a curated record
CCCCCGCUGCCGCCGUUGCCGCCGCCGCCGCUGCCAGCGCCCCUGGGACGGGCUUUCCCGGCUGGGCAGCACCGCAGCCGCUCCCGCGCCUCCCCACUGCGCGGGGGGUGGCGCUGCGCGCGCCUCCCAGGAUCCCGGCCAGGCUCCUCGCCCAGGGACCUCGCCUUGCCGCAGGAGACUCAGACCCCCUCCCACAGGGCAGUCACCAGCCUCCUCCCAGUAGCAAAUGAUUUGAUGGGGGCUCUUUUCUUUCGAAAGGACCUGGGGGUCAGCGGACGUUCGGACUCAUUGCGAAGUGAAGAACCUUACUGGGGGAUUUUUUUUCUUUCAUUCUUUCCCUUUUUUUUUUGUAAUUAAAAAACCCUUUUCAGAACUAAAGGAGGAAACAGAUUCUUCCCUUUCCCAUUUUAAGCACUUAUGGGAGGAAGCGAAGAUAGGAAAGGCGAACCAGUCAACUGGAGUGGAGUAGGAGCUCAGAUGAAAAAGAAGACAGGAAAAGGAGAGAGGGAAACCUUAAGAUCCUGGCACCAAGAAGGAGCUGGGGGCUCUGACCACGGCCCGCAUGAGGAGUUAAACCCUUUCUAACUAACCUUCCAGGCAUCUAGAGACAGACCUCUCAGAUCUGAAAAGAAAGCCUGGCUGCCUUUAUUUAUAUUCAAUCUUCAAAGCCUAAUAUAUUAAAAUGAGAGUUCAUUUUUCCCACGACAUUCUGGAAAUCUUGUAUACAAGCAAAGAAAUGACCAUUUAUAAUGUUCUGCAGAAGAAUCCUGGAGCUGUAUGUUGAUUUAAUACCUAUUGCCUAAGAUCCCCUUUGGUAUUCAAACCCUGUCACUGUGGCUGUUUUUAUUAUUUGUGAGAUUUGCUUCAUUCCGUUUUGUUUAAAGAUUCUAUUGAAGCCAGCAUUGAUUUCUUUGGUUUAAGAAUCCAAAAAUAAUCAAAUCUGUUUUCUUUUCUAGUUAGGCCCUGGUGGAUUAUAAAUAAGAAAAAAAGGAACAAAUAUCUCAAAAUGUAUUGAUCUGAGUGCUGAAUAAUCUCAUUCUUCAAAGUGGAAAGUAACCCUGUUUUUGCAGAUAAGGAAACAGAGUUGUUAUUGCAAUCAACUGGACUGUUUUUGAAAUGCAAGCGAGGCACGUACACCCUCUAGUGGAGAAUCUAAUUAGCAAUGGAAUUUUACAAAAGGAAUUUCUAUGGAAAGAUUUUGUCAAGGAACAGCUGGACAUUGUCACCUCCAUGGUCCAAAUCUAAAUCUUCUAAUGAAUAGAAAAAUUCAGUUUCUCAAUGAAAAGAAGAAAGUUCAUCUGAAGUCUGGAAGAAAAGAGUGAGAUGCCCACAAGUACUAUAAACACAUGGAAGGUUCAUCAUAUCUGGAUGGUGUAAAAUGCAUUGGAAAAUGGUAGACCUGUUGAGACAGAUCAUAAAGAAACCUGUGCACCAUGCAAGGCUGCCUGAUGAACCUGGAGUCAUACCCAAAGCAGGAUAUUCCAGGAUGUUAUUCUGUUCCUCAUUGGUGUCAAAUCCAGCAUAGCCUCACAGAGCAACACCUCAGCUCCUCAGCCUAUCAGAUGCAUGGGAACCUUGACUGAAGCUGGACACUGAGGUUUAAGGCUUUAUCUUUCCAGGAACAUUCCCCAAUAAGCUUACCCACUUCCUGAAGGUUCCUAGUACCAGAAGAAAGCUAAACCAUAAAUUUGCUAUAGUCAGAAAAUCAUUCCUUUUCCUUCCCAUGUGCCUUUCUGAAACAUCCCUCAGAAAAAGAUGAGGGGAGGGGAGGAGAGGGAAGGGGGGAAAUAUCACUAAUACACUACCCCUACAAUUACCUCACAUGUAUACUUUAAUUUUACUACUCUGAGAUUUUGCCCUCCAGCUUACAUUUAGUAAUGUUAGAAACACCUACUAGUGUCACAACUGGAGGAAUACUACUGACAUUUGGUGGGUAGAGGAGUCAGAUGCUGCAAAACAUAUUACAUGGACAUGACAAACCCCACAACGGUGCUAUCUGUUCCAAAACAUCAGUAAUGCUACAGUUGAGAAGCCAUGCUGUAGGCCACAUAUUAAGCUGAAAAUGCACAAUGUGAGAAAUAAAGUAGUUAAGUUUUUAAAAACAAUUCAGCAUUUACUUGCUUUAGACUGGAAAUUUGAUACUUUUUUUAUCCUGAACCAAAAGAAGGG